RNAcentral lists this ribosomal RNA (440 nucleotides) under uncultured bacterium. RNAcentral's name for it is "partial 16S ribosomal RNA". It matches the Rfam family "Bacterial small subunit ribosomal RNA", at positions 338 to 795 of the family's 1533-position model. The record is from RNAcentral.
CCUACGGGAGGCAGCAGUAGGGAAUCUUGCGCAAUGGGCGAAAGCCUGACGCAGCAACGCCGCGUGAUCGAGACGCCCUUCGGGGUGUAAAGAUCUGUCAGUGGGGACGAAACUUGACGGUACCCACAGAGGAAGCACCGGCUAACUCCGUGCCAGCAGCCGCGGGAAUACGGGGGGUGCAAGCGUUGUCCGGAAUCAUUGGGCGUAAAGGGUUCGUAGGCGGCACGUAAAGUCUGGUGUUAAAGGCAGAGGCUCAACUUCAGUACGGCACUGGAUACUUGCGAGCUAGAAUGCGGUAGAGGUAAAGGGAAUUCCUGGUGUAGCGGUGAAAUGCUUAGAUAUCAGGAGGAACAUCGGUGGCGUAAGCGCUUUACUGGGCCGUAAUUGACGCUGAGGAACGAAAGCCAGGGUAGCAAAUGGGAUUAGAUACCCGGGUAGUC